This 253-nucleotide ribosomal RNA is filed under the name uncultured prokaryote. Its description in RNAcentral is "partial 16S ribosomal RNA". It matches the Rfam family "Bacterial small subunit ribosomal RNA", at positions 524 to 776 of the family's 1533-position model. The record is from RNAcentral.
AACGUAGGACACAAGCGUUAUCCGGAGUUACUGGGCGUAAAGGGCGUGUAGGCGGAUCGGUAAGUCUACUCUGAAAUCUCCGGGCUUAACUCGGAAAGGUCAACUGAUACUGUGCGACUAGAGUGCAGAAGGGGCAACUGGAAUUCUCGGUGUAGCGGUGAAAUGCGUAGAUAUCGAGAGGAACACCUGCGGCGAAGGCGGGUUGCUGGGCUGACACUGACGCUGAUGCGCGAAAGCCAGGGGAGCGAACGGG